RNAcentral lists this ribosomal RNA (428 nucleotides) under uncultured bacterium. Its description in RNAcentral is "bacterial SSU rRNA". It matches the Rfam family "Bacterial small subunit ribosomal RNA", at positions 355 to 775 of the family's 1533-position model. The record is from RNAcentral.
UGGGGAAUUUUGGACAAUGGGGGCAACCCUGAUCCAGCCAUUCCGCGUGAGUGAAGAAGGCCUUCGGGUUGUAAAGCUCUUUUGUCCGGAACGAAACGGGUAGCGUGAAUAUCGCUGCCUACUGACGGUACCGGAAGAAUAAGCACCGGCUAACUACGUGCCAGCAGCCGCGGUAAUACGUAGGGUGCGAGCGUUAAUCGGAAUUACUGGGCGUAAAGGGUGCGCAGGCGGUUUUGUAAGCCAGAUGUGAAAUCCCCGGGCUCAACCUGGGAAUGGCAUUUGGGACUGCAAGGCUAGAGUGUGGCAGAGGAGACUGGAAUUCCCGGUGUAGCAGUGAAAUGCGUAGAUAUCGGGAGGAAUACCGAUGGCGAAGGCAGGUCUCUGGGCUGACACUGACGCUCAUGCACGAAAGCGUGGGGAGCAAACAG